Osmia bicornis bicornis is the source of this 234-nucleotide long non-coding RNA. RefSeq lists it as uncharacterized. Lineage: Eukaryota; Metazoa; Arthropoda; Insecta; Hymenoptera; Megachilidae. The record is from RefSeq and is a predicted model, not a curated record. The transcript has 2 exons.
UAAAAGAGAUUAUUUUAUAUUUUAAGAAAGAUAUUAUUUUCUGGGUGUUAUCUGGAAGUCCGGAAUUUUUACUUAAAAUGAAAAAUAUAGAAAAGAAAUUAUUAAAGCAGCAGUUCAACUAUGUGAGAUCAGAAGGGUCAAUUGACAGAGCUGCGAUUAUCCUUAGGGCUCGAUGAAAAUAGGGCCCAAAUAGAGGUUUUUGUAAUUAUUGAAUAAAAUAAAUAAAUCUGCAGA